This 130-nucleotide microRNA precursor is filed under the name Gossypium arboreum. RNAcentral describes it as "MIR7502 microRNA precursor family". It matches the Rfam family "MIR7502 microRNA precursor family". The record is from Rfam by way of RNAcentral. Lineage: Eukaryota; Viridiplantae; Streptophyta; Magnoliopsida; Malvales; Malvaceae.
UAUUAAAAUUUUCAUUUAUUUCUAUUAUUCAAAACUAGUGUAGCUGAUGGAAUAAUCAAAUAAUUACAUGUGACGUGCCACGUGCACGUUGACUAGUUUUUAACAGUAAAAAUGGAUGAGAUUUUUAAUA